GAGCACCGCACGUCGCGU
RNAcentral lists this small nuclear RNA (18 nucleotides) under Arabidopsis thaliana (thale cress). RNAcentral describes it as "snRNA_17617". The record is from RNAcentral. Lineage: Eukaryota; Viridiplantae; Streptophyta; Magnoliopsida; Brassicales; Brassicaceae.